UCAGAUUGAACGCUGGCGGCAGGCCUAACACAUGCAAGUCGAGCGGUAACAGGGGAAGCUUGCUUUCUGCUGACGAGCGGCGGACGGGUGCGUAACACGUAGGAAUCUGCCUGGUAGUGGGGGAUAGCCCGGAGAAAUCCGGAUUAAUACCGCAUACGCCCUAAGGGGGAAAGCAGGGGAUCAGCUUACUGACCUUGCGCUAUCAGAUGAGCCUGCGUCGGAUUAGCUUGUUGGUGGGGUAAAGGCCUACCAAGGCGACGAUCCGUAGCUGGUCUGAGAGGAUGAUCAGCCACACUGGGACUGAGACACGGCCCAGACUCCUACGGGAGGCAGCAGUGGGGAAUAUUGCACAAUGGGCGCAAGCCUGAUGCAGCCAUGCCGCGUGUGUGAAGAAGGCCUUAGGGUUGUAAAGCACUUUCAGCGAGGAGGAAAGGUGAUUAGUUAAUACCUGAUUACUGUGACGUUACUCGCAGAAGAAGCACCGGCUAACUCCGUGCCAGCAGCCGCGGUAAUACGGAGGGUGCGAGCGUUAAUCGGAAUUACUGGGCGUAAAGCGUGCGUAGGCGGCUACUUAAGUUGGAUGUGAAAGCCCCGGGCUUAACCUGGGAACUGCAUCCAAAACUGGGUGGCUAGAGUGCGAGAGAGGAGUGUGGAAUUUCCUGUGUAGCG
This 669-nucleotide ribosomal RNA is filed under the name uncultured bacterium. Its description in RNAcentral is "bacterial SSU rRNA". It matches the Rfam family "Bacterial small subunit ribosomal RNA", at positions 24 to 680 of the family's 1533-position model. The record is from RNAcentral.